This 1021-nucleotide long non-coding RNA is filed under the name Vigna radiata. RNAcentral describes it as "long non-coding RNA (VRAD_LNC005122)". The record is from RNAcentral. Lineage: Eukaryota; Viridiplantae; Streptophyta; Magnoliopsida; Fabales; Fabaceae.
AGUGAAGUAACUCCAAACGGCAAGCAAGUUGAAAAACAGAGAGAUGCAGCGGACAAGAGUUUUGAUGCAGUGGAUUUGGAUGGAUGCAGUGGAGUUUGAUGUUCCGCUAAUGGUGGAAAUGUUUGGAAUAUCCUCUCAGCUCAGAAGGCCUUCCCACUAUGGAAGGAAGCUAGAGGAAAGGGUAGAGAAAGUGAAGAGAAUAGGUGACUCAAGAGCAAGGAAAGCUGGAAAUUCAUUUCUGCAGCAUAACAUUCAAGCUCUAAAGUGAUUUUACAAAGGAGGAGACCCUCUUAUUUAUAGGUGAAGAGGGGUCUCAUUUCUGAUCCAAAUCCUUCCUAAAAUUCAAAUACAUUUGCAUANGAUGCGCGCCAUUUCCAGGCAGCAAGAUCCAUGCCUCCUUCCAAAUCAGCUAACUCACAUGGGUCACAUUUCCUUGCUGGCGCUAAGCGGUAUAUGGUGGCGCUGAGCGCUGCCUGGCUGCCUCCUUCUUUACUUCUUGGAUCAACUUCUCCAAGCUUUAUUUAGGCCCUACAAAACAAAGUAAACAUGUUUUAAAAUAUAAUCCUUCUAAGACUUUAGAGAAAGAAACUCAAGAAAGCUUUAGAAAGUCUUUCUUUAACUUCCCUUUCUUAGUCUUAGCUUGAGUUGCUGCUCCUUUGAGUGGUUUUCCUAAUUAGGAUUCCAUCAACUGCCCAGCGUCAAUCGCCAUGCCUACUCCUCGUCCUGGACCGCCCGACGGUUUAAGUGUGCCGCCAGGCGGUGCGUCGACUCUUCAAAUCUUCAUUUUUCUGCUCUUUUCUUGAUUCAACGACCUGUAUCUUUAACUCCAUUCUUCAAUUUCUCAAAAUAGCUACAAAACAAUGCAAAACAAGCAUAAAAUCGCUAAAAACAGCUUUUUCCUCUCUAAAGACUCAUUUAUUGAGUUUUGCUUGAUUCUAGGCUCAUUCCAAGUAGUAAAGGGUGUAAUGCGGUCCAAAUUGACAUAUGAAAAUAACUAUUUUUCAACCUUCAACAACCCCGA